UAACACGUGGGUAACCUGCCUUAUAGUGGGGGAUAGCCUUUCGAAAGGAAGAUUAGUACCGCAUAAGAUUGUAGUAUCGCAUGAUAUAGCAAUUAAAGGAGCAAUUCGCUAUAAGAUGGACCCGCGUCGCAUUAGCUAGUUGGUGAGGUAAUGGCUCACCAAGGCGACGAUGCGUAGCCGACCUGAGAGGGUGAACGGCCACAUUGGGACUGAGACACGGCCCAGACUCCUACGGGAGGCAGCAUG
Molecule: ribosomal RNA, 246 nt
Filed under: uncultured bacterium
Lineage: Bacteria
Description: partial 16S ribosomal RNA
Rfam family: Bacterial small subunit ribosomal RNA
Source: RNAcentral